AUGCCUUGGUGAGGGCAUUUGCGCAACGAGUCCUUAAACCGCUCCCAUGCCUCAUAUACAAACUCUUCAUCAGGUUGCUGAAAUGAAGUAAUCUCACUGCGGAGCUU
Molecule: small nucleolar RNA, 107 nt
Organism: Humulus lupulus (European hop)
Lineage: Eukaryota; Viridiplantae; Streptophyta; Magnoliopsida; Rosales; Cannabaceae
Source: RefSeq, a predicted model, not a curated record